CGAAACAAAGUAGAAUAACCGGAAGGUUAUUCUACU
This 36-nucleotide ribosomal RNA is filed under the name Gammarus benignus. RNAcentral describes it as "partial 12S ribosomal RNA". The record is from RNAcentral. Lineage: Eukaryota; Metazoa; Arthropoda; Malacostraca; Amphipoda; Gammaridae.